This 1457-nucleotide long non-coding RNA is filed under the name Gallus gallus (chicken). Its description in RNAcentral is "lncRNA (ENSGALG00000048644.2)". The record is from RNAcentral. Lineage: Eukaryota; Metazoa; Chordata; Aves; Galliformes; Phasianidae.
AGACUUUCUUUUCAACUCUUUCCCCAUGCUUUGUGUCAGAGAGCUCUGUAUCACAGAGCACAUCCCUUUACUCUCCAACAGUGCUGAGAUGCAGCAAUGUGGAACCAACCCACACACAUUUUGUUUGUAAUGUUCAUUGCUGAGGAUGACUGUCACAGGCCAUUCCCUGGGCUCCCCUCUCUAGUACGUCCUGCUGUUGCUACUUCUCUUCACAUGAUUACUUUCACUUAGCAAGCCACUUCAAACACUUUCUUUCCCCCACUCAGUCAUUAGUUAUUUCUGUUUCUCUUUAAUGCACAGAAAGUCUUAAUACCGUUGUCUGAGUAUCACUAGGGCCUAUAGUUUGUACAUAAAAAUAGGUACAUUCAUAAGCACAAGGAAAAUCUGUGGUUUGGCAGUGGGCGCAUAGCACCCUUAUUUGCUCUUUGUUUCAGCUGUGCCUUUGUAGGAGGCAUCUUAUGCCACAACUCCUUGUCCAGCCCUUGACAGAGCAUGCUCAGAGAAGCAAUCUGAAAGAGGGAGCAGCACUGAGAAAGGCCAUUAAUUACAGUCAGAAUUUCCCUUCCAGCAGGGUUGGAAUCAUGGCUAGUAAAUGGGAAAGAAACUGAACAAUGUGCAGGUGAUUUACAACAAAUCAGGUACAAAUUUAAACCAGAGUGCAAGCCAUAUGCGAUGAUGGGAGCCAAGAUACUGUCCUGUACUUUACUGUGAAGUACAUAAAUUCAGAAGACACUCAUGGAACAUGCCCAGAAAAAAAGAAAUCAUUUCUGAAUACAACUUGCAGAAGGUCCCAAGAGCCUCAUUCAGAAAUUUGGAGACAGAAUUUCAACUGCUGACUUUUUAAAUGAGUUUUCAUUAACUCGUUUCCAUUAAUCUUCGGAAUCUGAGAGUAGCUCCCUCUCAUUCAUACUCUAUACUAUAAAAAAAAAAAACCCUAGGGAAAUUUAUCUUCUGUAAAUGACUCUAUUAAAGGAGCAGAACAAUAUUGCAUGAAUGAAAUGCAAGAAAAUCAGAAAUCUUUGAUUUUUCAAUGAGAAAUUAUGGUUUUCUCUGCCACUAUCCAUUUGUUUGAUGGCUUUAUUCUUAGAUAUGUAUUUGCAGCAUGGCUUUCAUGAAGACCACAUAGCUCCUUGCAAACCUAUGUUUCUUGCAUUAUGGUUUUGGUUUCUAUAUGUCUGCCAGAGGUGACAUAGAUGAAUGGAGGUAUGUAACUUUUGAGGCCAUAUAAAGAUACAGAAACUAAAAAUAGUGGUAAUUACUUGAAAAAAAAAAAAGAAAUCUCAGAAAGGUCUGAGGUUUAGUUUCUGUAAGAAUCCAGCAUGGAAGUAAUGAUGCAAAAAAUAUCAAACUACCAUGAUUAUUAUGUUUUGAAAUCUUCUUUGUUCGUUAUUCUUCAUCAAAAUAUCUAAUGUGAUAAUCAAGACCUCGUUCCUAUCCUCCAGAGAUUACAAAUUACU